AAAAAGACAAACCCUGAGUUUUCGUAUUCAACGUUUUACUGUCUGUCUUAUAUGAAAUUUUUUUUCAUAAACAGCAUUUUCAUUGUUGUUAGAUGAUAAAACAUGAUUAAUACUUUAUACGUGACUUGUCUUUUUAAUUUUUUUCAUAAUUUUUUUAAAUAAGACGGACGGUCAAACGUUGUAUACGGAAACCCAGGGUUUGUCUUUUU
This is a microRNA precursor of Oryza sativa Indica Group (long-grained rice), 209 nucleotides long. It matches the Rfam family "MIR812 microRNA precursor family". NCBI's taxonomy places the organism in Eukaryota, Viridiplantae, Streptophyta, Magnoliopsida, Poales, Poaceae. The record is from Rfam.